UUCUUCCCUGGACAUACAACCUAAGGCAACCAUCGACGAAUUCAUUGACGAACUCACCACUACCAACGGCUAAUCGGAGAACUAAGUUACGAUUGGCGACUUCACUCCCACUGGCGACCUCGACACAAUCGCUAGCAAACUACAAAUUUAGGUGUUUAAUAGAUACAAUGGUGUGAUUGAUGGAGUCCAGUUCUCAUCACAUGACCCUGUAGGUGGCCUACUAGCUAGAUCUACCCAUUGAUCCAUCUGCUGGUAUUCGUUGUGCAGAGGUUUGUUUCUUGUUGAAGGUAAGGUGUAAGGGAAGUUCACAUUUGGAAACCAGCCAAACAGUGUUGGAGGAGAACAUAUGCUUGUGCCCGCAUUGGCUAAUAAUUAGUAUUGUCAAUUUGUUGAUGCUUGUCACAAUUAUGUAAACUUUUGAGCCUUAUUUUAUUUUGUUAUUUUUAUAUUUUUGAAGAUUACAAUUGAUGUAAAGUGGGAAAUAAUUUAUUGGGUGAUUGUAAGAAUUAGUUUGAAAUUAAAAAUUUGGUUAAAUGCUGAUUUUUUAUGCCGAAAAAUGGUCGUUUAUGCUAUUUUUUUUUUUAAUAAAAGUUAAUGAAAAGAGACCCGUUAGGUAUAAAAAGGGCUCUCUCGAGUAUAAUAAUAAAAAAUAGUAAAAUAUUCUAAGAGACCCUCUAUCUAACAUAUGGGGUCUGAAUUUGUUAAUUAUAAUAAUAUUAAAAAAUUCAAAGAGACCCUUUAUCUUACAUAUGGGGUCUGAGUUUGAUGGAAAAAAUAUUAUUUAAAAAUUCAAAGAGACCCCCUAGGUUAAAUAUUAGGUCUGAAUAUUUUUGCAAACAUACCCCAUAUCUCUAAUAAGGGGUCUCUUCUUCUUCUACAUUAUUUUUUACAUGGUUAACGUAACAUACCCCUUUUCUUAAAUAACGGGUCUCUUGUUUUUAACAAACAGACCCCCUCUAGAUGAGAGGUCUCUUUUAUAAAGAGACCCCCCUAUCUAGAGACCCCCUUAAAUGGGGUCUCUUAUGCCAUUUUGAACGGGUCUCUUUGCCUAUUUUUGUAGUAGUGUAUGAAAAAAACUUACCAAGACAGAAAAAGAUUUCUUCCUUUGUUCCAUCUCUUUUGGAUCAAGAAGCAUAUUAUCAAGGAAAUAGACACUUUUGUCUUUCAUACUAAGCACAAACAUAUAAUAAUGCUUCGGGUCUUCAAUCAGAACAGGAGCAAAAAUCUAUAUAAAAAAGAAAAACAACAUAUUACAACUACAAGAAAGAAGACAAAAAAAAGAAAAUAAUAUGGUUAUAUAAAUAAAAUAUAAAUCAUACCAUAUUACAAUCUUUCAAAGAUUGAACUCCAUUAACAUCUUUCACACCAUAAUUAAGACAAACACACAAUUCAGACAAGACUUUUGCAUCCUCUGGUUUCUCAAUCAAUUCAGCAACAUAUUUCUGCAAAUGAAUAUUAAAAGAAAAAUUAAACAACGGCCAAAAAAAUUUAAAAUAAUUAACAUUCUAUAUUAUUAAAAAUAUAACUUACACAAUAUGUG
This is a long non-coding RNA of Spinacia oleracea (spinach), 1540 nucleotides long. RefSeq lists it as uncharacterized. The transcript has 3 exons. The record is from RefSeq and is a predicted model, not a curated record. NCBI's taxonomy places the organism in Eukaryota, Viridiplantae, Streptophyta, Magnoliopsida, Caryophyllales, Amaranthaceae.